Molecule: long non-coding RNA, 481 nt
Organism: Gadus macrocephalus (Pacific cod)
Lineage: Eukaryota; Metazoa; Chordata; Actinopteri; Gadiformes; Gadidae
Exons: 4
Source: RefSeq, a predicted model, not a curated record
UUACAAGUAGAAUUUAAUUAAACAUUCCAUAAGCUUUUGCCGAUCGGUUAGGCACUUUAUACAAUACAAUGUAACACUUCAAUAUAAAUCCUCUUUCUUGAGAGUUGGUUCUUACUUUAUGUUAGGAUAAAAGUAGCCACACAGAAAAGUGGUGUUUGAGGUUUGGUGCAGUGUGAGAGGUUUUGUGUGGUGUCAGGUUUUGUGCAGUGUGUGAGGGAUUGUGCAGUGUGUGAAGUUUUGUGCAGUGUGCAGUGUGUGAGGUUCUGUGAGGUUCUGUUCUGUGCGGUGUGUGAGGUUCUGUGCGGUGUGUGAGGUUCUGUGUGGUGUGUGAGGUUCUGUGUUCUGUGUGGUGUGUGAGGUUCUGUGUGGUGUGUGAGGUUCUGUGUGGUGUGUGUAGUGUUGGGUUGUUACCUAUCCACAAGCAUCUUUCCAUUCAACCACUUCCAGACGCCUUCCUCAUCCACGUCUCUCAGUCCGAUCC